This 2314-nucleotide ribosomal RNA is filed under the name human gut metagenome. RNAcentral describes it as "bacterial LSU rRNA". It matches the Rfam family "Bacterial large subunit ribosomal RNA", at positions 1 to 2307 of the family's 2925-position model. The record is from RNAcentral.
ACAAGCAAACAAGAGCAUCGGGUGGAUGCCUUGGCGUCGGAAGGCGAUGAAAGACGCGGUAAGCUGCGAUAAGCCUCGGGGAGGAGCUAAACAUCCUUUGAUCCGGGGAUUUCUGAAUGGGGAAACCCGGCGGGAGUCAUGUCCCGUCGCCUGCAGGUGAAUACAUAGCCUGCAAGGAGCCAACUCGGGGAAGUGAAACAUCUCAGUACCCGAAGGAAAGGAAAUCAAACGAGACUCCCUCAGUAGCGGCGAGCGAAGGGGGAAGAGCCCAAACCGUGCGGAUUCGUCCGUGCGGGGUUGUAGGACCGGCAUAAGUGAUUCGCGAGUAGGCAGGGGAAGGAGGCUGGAAAGCCUCGCCAAAGCGGGUGAAAGCCCCGUACCCGAACCUGAAAACGACGCUGCCGGCACCUGAGUACCGCGAGGCACGUGAAACCUCGUGGGAAUCUGGGAGGACCAUCUUCCAAGGCUAAGUACUAACCGACGACCGAUAGUGCACCAGUACCGUGAGGGAAAGGUGAAAAGAACCCCUGUCAGGGGAGUGAAAUAGAAUCUGAAACCUGAUGCUUACAAGCUGUGGGAGCCGGGCAUGCCCGGUGACCACGUGCCUUUUGCAUAAUGAGUCAGCGAGUUGAUCUGUACUGCGAGGUUAAGCGCAAGUGGAGCCGUAGCGAAAGCGAGUCUGAAUAGGGCGACAAGUAGUGCGGAUCAGACCCGAAACCGGGUGAUCUAUCCAUGAGCAGGUUGAAGCAAGGGUAAAACCUUGUGGAGGACCGAACCAAUAACGGCUGAAAACGUUUUGGAUGACUUGUGGAUAGGGGUGAAAGGCCAAUCAAACCCGGUGAUAGCUGGUUCUCCCCGAAAUAUAUUGAGGUAUAGCCUCGUGGAUUGUCUAUUGGAGGUAAAGCACUGACAGAGCUAGGGGUCCUACCAGAUUACCAAACUCUUUCAAACUCAGAAUGCCAAUCAGAUGUACCACGGGAGUCAGACGGCGGGUGCUAAGGUUCGUCGUCGAGAGGGUAAGAGCCCAGAUCAACAGCUAAGGCCUCCAAAUCUAUGCUCAGUGGUGAAGGUGGUGACGUUGUAGAGACACCCAGGACGUUGGCUUAGAAGCAGCCAUCGUUUAAAGAAAGCGUAAUAGCUCACUGGUCUAAUGACGUUGCGCCGAAAAUGUAACGGGGCUAAGCAUAGUGCCGAAGCUUUGAAUUCCGCGUAUGCGGUCUGGUAGGGGAGCGUUCUUCAUGGGCUGAAGGCGUGUUGUAAAGCACGUUGGACUGUGGAGAAGUGAUUAUGCUGACAUGAGUAACGAUAAAACGGGUGAAAAACCCGUUCGCCGUAAACCCAAGGUUUCCUGGGUAAAGGUAAUCUUCCCAGGGUUAGUCGGCCCCUAAGGCGAGGCUGAAAGGCGUAGCUGAUGGGAAACGAGUUAAUAUUCUCGUACUUGUGUGUCCGCGCGAUGGAGGGACGCAGGAAGGUAAACGGUCCGGGUGUUGGUAUACCCGGUGCAAGCAGGUAGGCGUGCAGCACAGGCAAAUCCGUGCUGCUCUACGCUGAGACGCGAGUCCGUGGCCGCAAGGCCUGAAGCCGUUGAGCCUCUACUGCCUAGAAAAGCUCCUAAGUAUAGGAUACGCAAACCGUACUGCAAACCAACUCAGGUGGGUGGGAUGAAUAAUCCAAGGCGCUCGAGAGAACUCUGGCCAAGGAACUCGGCAAAAUAACCCCGUACCUUCGGAAGAAGGGGUGCUCUUUUGGGUAAAGUUGAUUCACUUAACCAGCCCGAGGGAGCCGCAGAGAAAUGGUGGUGGCGACUGUUUACUAAAAACAUAGGUCUGUGCCAAGUCGUAAAGACGACGUAUACGGACUGACGCCUGCCCGGUGCCGGAAGGUUAAAAGGAGGGGUCAGCGCAAGCGAAGCUCCGAAUUGAAGCCCCGGUAAACGGCGGCCGUAACUAUAACGGUCCUAAGGUAGCGAAAUUCCUUGUCGGGUAAGUUCCGACCUGCACGAAUGGCGUAACGAUCUCCACACUGUCUCGGCCAGAGACUCGGUGAAAUUGAAGUCGCGGUGAAAAUGCCGUGUACCCGCAGAAAGACGGAAAGACCCUGUGCACCUUUACUAUAGCUUGACAUUGGGAUUUGGACCAGCAUGUGUAGGAUAGGUGGGAGACUGUGAACCCUGUACGCUAGUAUGGGGGGAGUCAUUGUUGAAAUACCACCCUUGUUUUUUCAGGUCCCUAACCCUCUACCGUGAUCCGGUGAGGGAACAGUGUCUGGUGGGUAGUUUGACUGGGGCGGUCGCCUCCUAAAGAGUAACGGAGGC